AGUACUGGUUGAGUUAACGCAAGCAGCCGCCGCCACUUCGCUUUGCUGGUUACGUGUUCUGGUAGCUCUGGAAAGGGGUGUGGGAGGGCCGGCUCUCUCAUUUGCUCACUGAGGGAAAUGAGGCCCCACAGAGGAUCUGGGGUGUGUUCAGUGCUGCGUAAGCAGAAGGUGGUGGAGCCAGGAGUUCCUAAAUCCCGUUCUGCCAAGGUAGCACGAGGACACACGUAAUUGGAUCCCUUAGGAACGUGGUUUUCUGACUUGGAGAAUGGACGUCACGCUCUACAGUGGUGGUGUAAGGAUGAAAGGGAGCCCUGGUAAGCGCAUGUAAGCCAUUUCAGGCAGUGUUUUCACAUACACAGAGCACGGUGUAUUUAUGUAUCAUGUCUGUAUCAUACCUCAGCUUCUGCUCUUCGAGCAUCGUGUUGACAGGCACAGGUUUAAUUUACACUUCUAGACAUCCACCCCUAAAUCUCUUUACCUAUGUCAUAGCAAAUUAUGGCACAGUUUAUCAGAUCCUCAAUGGGAUGAUUUCCCCGGGGUCUAAACUUAAAGCAAGUUUCUCCCAGUACUUUUUACUUGUUAUCCUCUUCGACCACUUUGCAAAGGCCAGGAGUGUUUCCCGAUGGUCAAGAUGAGGCUACGGUUUAUUGGAUCACACCAUCAGGUGGAGUUAGAUUGACGCUGUAAUAUGUGUGCCAGUUGACACAUCUGAAUAAGGCCAUAAGCAUCAGGCAGAAGCAGAAUCAUAAAAAUGCACUUAUCGGCCACUGCAUUUGUGUAAGCGAUUACACAACUGGUCAGGAAUUUCCUGCUGUGCCAAUUUCUUUUCCCCCCCUGUGGAACUUUUCGACUGCUUGUAAUGGGUCCCUGUGCUUCUUCCUGAGGCCUGGCUGUUAUCAGCUAGUCCUUCCUAUGUGGUUUGGCGUGCUCGAGACACUUGUGAAUGGGUGUGCCCGGCUUCCAAUGAUUAGAAUGUGUGGCUGUGUCACAGAAGGCUGGCUGUCAUCUCUGCUCCUUCACACACAGGAGUGUUGUAAGUGACUUUUCAAACACAUCUUAGUUCUUCAAACCUCUAGGAAAACGAUUUCAUAAGAUCAGAAGCUCUGCACAUUCUAUAAGAAAUAAUUUUCUUAAAAAAAAAAAAAGGAUGUGUGAGGUAACAAUGAAGAAACUUCCGGAGAGCUGAGGAAGAGCAUGAAACCUUCGAGUAUUAAUCAAGGAACUGCUAUGUAUGGCUUUCUAUACUCCAUGAGAGGACAGUUGUGAGCCUGGGGACAGAUCCAGUGACCCGGGAUUGCAGCUCCUACCCGUGUCCCUCUGGGGACCAUCACCGUGGUCUGAAGGAAAGACAGGGAACAAAAAUGGAACAGAGACUGAAG
Molecule: small RNA, 1379 nt
Filed under: Rattus norvegicus (Norway rat)
Lineage: Eukaryota; Metazoa; Chordata; Mammalia; Rodentia; Muridae
Description: uncharacterized LOC103692969
Source: RNAcentral